AUUACGGGGUAGCAAUAUUCCGUAGUCGGAGCGGCGCAAGGGUGCGUAACACGUGGGUAAUCUGCCAUGAAGUUUGGAAUAACUCGCUGAAAGGCGAGCUAAUGCCGGAUGUGAAAGCUGGGAGGCAUCUCCUGGUUUUCAAAGCUGGGGACCGUAAGGCCUGGCGCUUCAUGAUGAGCCCGCGGCCUAUCAGCUAGUUGGUAAGGUAACGGCUUACCAAGGCUAAGACGGGUAGCUGGUCUGAGAGGACGACCAGCCACACUGGAACUGAGACACGGUCCAGACACCUACGGGUGGCAGCAGUCGAGAAUUUUUCACAAUGGGCGCAAGCCUGAUGGAGCGACGCCGCGUGGGGGAUGAAUGGCUUCGG
This 370-nucleotide ribosomal RNA is filed under the name uncultured Verrucomicrobiota bacterium. Its description in RNAcentral is "bacterial SSU rRNA". It matches the Rfam family "Bacterial small subunit ribosomal RNA", at positions 68 to 421 of the family's 1533-position model. Lineage: Bacteria; Pseudomonadati; Verrucomicrobiota. The record is from RNAcentral.